UGGACAAUGGAGGCAACUCUGAUCCAGCCAUGCCGCGUGAAGGAAUAAGGCCCUAUGGGUUGUAAACUUCUUUUAGACGGGACAAAACCCCUUUACGUGCACAGGGUUGAUGGUACUGUCAGAAUAAGCAUCGGCUAACUUCGUGCCAGCAGCCGCGGUAAUACGAAGGAUGCAAGCGUUAUCCGGAAUUAUUGGGUUUAACGGGUGCGUAGGCGGACAAAAAAGUCAGUGGUGAAAUCCUACAGCUUAACUGUAGUACUGCCUUUGAUACUUUUAUUCUGGAGUUCUUGAGAGNAAGGAGGAGUUCCAGGUGUAGUGGUGAAAUACUUAGAUAUCUGGAAGAACACCAGUUGCGAAGGCGGUCUCUUGGUCCGACACUGACGCUGAGGCGCGA
This 394-nucleotide ribosomal RNA is filed under the name uncultured bacterium. RNAcentral's name for it is "bacterial SSU rRNA". It matches the Rfam family "Bacterial small subunit ribosomal RNA", at positions 365 to 756 of the family's 1533-position model. The record is from RNAcentral.